UGAGGAAUAUUGCACAAUGGGCGCAAGCCUGAUGCAGCCACGCCGCGUGCGGGACGAAGGCCUUCGGGUCGUAAACCGCUUUUCUGGGGGAAGAGCAAGGACGGUACCUAAGGAAUAAGUCUCGGCUAACUACGUGCCGGCAGCCGCGGGAAAACGUAGGAGGCGAGCGUUAUCCGGAUUUACUGGGCGUAAAGCGCACGCAGGCGGCUCUGUUAGUCGGACGUGAAAGCUCCCGGCUUAACCGGGAGAGGCCGUUCGAUACUGCGGGGCUUGAGGUAGGGAGAGGAAUGCGGAAUUCCCGGUGUAGCGGUGGAAUGCGUAGAUAUCGGGAGGAACACCUGUGGCGAAAGCGGCAUUCUGGCCCUCACCUGACGCUGAGGUGCGAAAGCGUGGG
Molecule: ribosomal RNA, 394 nt
Filed under: uncultured bacterium
Lineage: Bacteria
Description: bacterial SSU rRNA
Rfam family: Bacterial small subunit ribosomal RNA
Source: RNAcentral